GCCGGGUCCUUUAACCCACUGGGCCGGGCGUGGGAUCGAACCCGAGCCUCAGCUGUGACCUGAGCUGUGCUCUAGUUGGAUUCUUAGGCCACUGCGCCAUGGGGGGAGCUCUGCAUUCAAGUCCUCCUUGAGUGUCCCUGUGUCCGGCCCCACGAGCCCACCAGACGGGUUCGGAUCUUUCCAUGCCCCUGGCCGGUGUGUCGCCCAGUUCUCUACGGAAACGCUUCUCAUCAUUUGAGGCCUGGAUCAAAGGGCCCUUUUCUGGGACAGUUUCCUUAACCCCGAAGGUCAGAAUCUAUUGCUCCUGCCACUGUACCCACAAAACCCACUGCUUGUGUCCAUGCUCCAGGACAGUGAUGGGUGACACACGUGCUUGGGAGUGAGACAGACUCGAAUUCAAGUCCUGGCUCUGUCACCUACCGGCCACAUGACUUUUGGAAGCUCUGUUUCCUUUACGACAAAAAGUCAAGCCGAAGCCCACCUUACUUUUCCACGCGGUGAGGACCGAGCGAGGUCCUAGCUACAAAAUACAGGAGCAAACCGUGAGCGCAGGCUGGAGGCUUGGCCGUGUUCGCACGUUGCCAUCUAGGCGCUGUCCCCUGGCCCGUGCCCAGUGGGGAGGCAGCUCAGGGCGGGCCUUGCGCCCCCCUGGAAUGUGCCCCUUCCUGCGUCCACACACGGUGGCUCUACGCACUUCAGACACGUGUGCAAAGCACUUCCGUCCUCAGCUUCUCUCUGAACAGUAGUGACAGGGAGUGGCCAGAAGAACCUUCUGGGCUCUAAAGAAAACCUUGCAAGCACAUCCCCUGGGACAGAGCUGGCUGUUAACUGGAAAACAAGUGGUUCUCAGCUGAGCAGCUUUCACCUUUCAUGGACCCCCGGCAACGCAGUGGCAGGGGGGACGGAGUUACCCCUCCUUUGUGGAUCACACUGACUGCCCCAAACUCCUUUGGAGGAAUGUUGGAAGAUGAAUGCGAGACUCCAGCCGACAGCUGUCUGAGAUCUUGCGUAAAAGAGACCCUGGACAUACAGGCUACAGGUGUGCCUGCUUUAGUUUGCGAGCUGGGGAUUUUACGAAAAUCUGCACCUACCAAGCAGACAAACGAAGGGGUGAAAAUUAGCAUAAUUAGCAUCACAAACAGCCUCUUGGCUUGACGAGAAGAUUCACGGCAGGAUCCCUCUAAAUAGCCAGCUCCCCUAGUGCAUUUAAAAUAUGACUCAAUUUAUCAAGAAUUUGAUGUACGUGUGUCAGGAUCGCGUCUGGUACAGGAGGGGAGGCACAUAUGUUUUUUAUAACAAAGACUGAUAACUGUGGGGUUUUAAAAAUAUAAAACAUUUUUUCUUCUCAUGAUCUUUAAUCCCGCAGUUAACACCUCCGCUGCUAGGAGGCGGCUCUGCCAGCUGCAGGUGCGGCUGUGGACGUGGGCAGCCUCGGAGUGCACCCCACGGGCAAGCGGGCAGGCGGGGAGGGUUCUGCUCAGCUCCGGCGCCGGAAAUGGAGAAAAAGCUGGCUGGCAUCUCCUUUGAAUGCACCAUACUAUUCCCAAUUGGGUUAAAGCUUUUCCGACUCCCUAUAAGAUUAAAAAUCACCAAGCAGUGGAGCUCUAAUGUGUGGAGAAGCAAAAAGCAGCUUUAUCCAGAAGAAGGACCCUGUAGAACGAUGCAGGAGCCAGUGCAUACGAGUGAGCUUGUGGUUUACGUCUCCUCUGUAGGAGUAUUUUGGUCUGGUGUGUGUCUGUGUGUGUGUGCUCGUGCCAGCGGAUGCUUGGCAGAGUGGAGGAAAGUGUGCAGUCAGAAUGACAGCCCCCCAGAGCCGCCCAUAUCCUCAUCCCCGGUGCCUGGGCAUGGGGCACGCUACACAGCAAGGCACCAUUAAGGCAGCAGAUGGAAUUAAGUUUGCUGAUCAGCUGACCUUAAAUCAGGAGGUUAACCAGGGGCCCGGGGUCCGCACGCAGCUUCUCACAAGACGGGAGAGGAAGAGAAAUCAGUGCCAGGUGAUGCAAUGUGAGACGGCUGAAGGCCUCGCCAUUUCUGGCUUCAGAGUUGGAAGGAACACGAGCAGCCUCUAGAAGCUGAGACCAGGGUGAGAUGGAUUCCAGAAAGGACACCUCGCCGCAGCCUGCUGCCCCCGAGAAAUGGAGAAGCUCGAGGGCGCCUGCGAUUUCACAGAGGUGGCCUAAGGGGGCAGCUGGGCGGGACAAAUACAAGGAUUGUCUAAAGAUGCCCUUCGUUUCCUGCUUAUUGAAGACACCCCGAUGCUAUUCCCACGUCCUUCUCAUCGUUUUGACUUCUGGCUCCACGGACCCGCAGGGAACUGAACGCUCUUCAACCAGAGCGUCCGUCGCCAUCGCUGUUCCAGCUCCUCCUGGGUCAGCUGCUCCGGGAAAGGCCCGGGAAUUGCUCCCCGCUGCUGAUUUAAGGCCUCGACCAGAGGCCGAAGCCGCCGAAUGUCCUCAGAAAGGCCUCGAGAGGAAGGAGCGAGGAAAACAACCAACCACCAAAGAGCAGCUCUUCCUGCAGCGUGGCCUGCAUCUCCCCUUAUUGUGACAGAUUCCAGAGGGCGUCCAGACACCCCACUGGAGUCCCUGCGGCUGCAAGGCUGUGUGCGGACUGGGAGCCUCGCCAAGGUGCCAGCACUGGUCCUGAACGCGGCCCACGGCCCCUCUGCCCCCCACCUCCCGGAGCUCAGCCUCCUGCUGACGGGGAGACCCUGUGAACGCCUGGCAGGCCAAUGCGAGCUCUGCACACGGAUGGCGGCGGCGUCAAACAUCACGUCUUGCAAGAGAUCAAAGGGAAUGAAGUUGGAGAGAUGCUCAGAUCACAGCGCGCCCUUAGCUGUCGGCGGAGGUGUGCCAGGCUGAAGUUCCUUCUUUGCCAAGGGAGAGCUUGGCCAAGGUCACAAGCGGAGAGGCCUUGACUGACAGCCGUGGGACCCAGAGCGGCUCACUGGGGACCCAGAAGGAGGGACAUCUCUGCCCAAAGGGCAAAUCCCAGCUUCCGCCUGAGGGACAAAGGAGACGAGGUUCUCUUCAGCUUUGAGCGGCCACUUAGUCCCCAGCUGGAGUCACCAACGUGCAGAAGCCCCCCAAACCCUGCCUAGGACAUCCCACCGCGAGACGGAAACAAACAAACAAAGGAGAAACAUCAAUUCAUCUGGGUUGCAUUCAUUUGUUUUAAAUACAAACAAACAAAAGGAGAGAGGAGCCCUGGUUGUUUCUGCACCAACCAUUUCAAAUGCAAGUUACUCUGCUGCUCGUUGCUCGGGGUAUUUGGAUGGCGUUUGUCACCAUAGGACCCACAGGGCUAGUUGCCACAGUUAUUCGGUGAGGUUUUUUCGUUUCCAAAAUUCCCAGUGUUCCUUUAAGGCCCAUUUAGCUGCGGGUUUUGUUUAUUCUCCCGGCAAUCAGCAUUUAAAAUAAGACAAACAAGCAUUUUUCCUGGUCUGUGAAUCCCCGAGGGCCAGCCUCCACCUGCACACCUGAAGCCAAUGUGUCCAAUUGAAUUUCUCUGUAACCCACACCCCUUCGGAGACCAGCCCCUCCUAUGCCGAGCUGGAAUAGAGAACUGAAGCAGGGCGAAUGUAAUUUUAAGAAUUGCUAAUGAUGCUGGAAAUUGGCAAUGCAAUUAGCGUCCUUGGAUUUGGCGCUCCUCUGAAGGCACAAAACUCCCUGUCAUCCUGCAGUGGCGGCAGCGGCCUCCUUGCCUGCCUGGCGGCCGGGCGCUGGCACUGGCAGCCUCUUCGCACCGAAAUAGGAGCAUUUGGUUGGGCUGCCUCUCUUCUCUCUCUCCCAGCCGGUGCCUCUGUCCCCUCUUUUCCUGAUAUGCAGAGGCAGGUGCAUUGUUUACGUCCUCAGCCUUCGGUCCCUGGGGGAGACACUCUAUUUUCUAGGCAAUUGGGGCCCCUGCUUUGGGAACUGCUUUUGCCUCUUGGGUUUCAGUGCCCCAGUUCAGCCAGUGCCCCCUGCCCUGGAACCCCAGGGAUUCUGGCGCAAUCAGUGGGCACCUCACGGCUCAGCAAUUGGGGCGACCCCGACCCCCCACCCCACCCCCGGUUUCCCACCGUAAGAUCUGUUUCCUUCCUCUCUCUCUCUCUCUUCCUUCUCUAUCUUCUCUUUCUCGAAGCUCUCCAUGGCUCAGGCGUAAUACGAAGAGUUAAAAAUAGGGAUUUGAAGGGAGCCGGAGGGAGAGAGGGAGUGCGAAAGCAAAAAACAAAAACAAAAACAACCCACCACCAACAAAAAAACAGCGAGCGAGAGAGAAAAUGAAUUCAUCGUUGGAGUCAAAAUAAACCUUUACUUUUUCAUAAGAAAAUUAUUUUUGCUCUCUGGAAAAAUAACACGGGCCAGGCAUGGAAACCGAGCUGGCUGGUUAGUUCGUUGCCAAGUCCAGAAUUUGAUCUUGAUGACUCUGUUCAAUUUCGCAAAGGUUUCGACUCUGGGGAUCCUCUUUCAGAGACAGAGGCCCGAAUCAGAAGCUCGCAGAGGGGAGCUGUUCUUCCAGAUUCCAGAUGUGCCUGCGAGACAACACGUUCUGGGCAAAUUGAUUUCACCCUUGGGAAACUGGAGAUUUUUUUCAAAGUUAUGUCUGCAAAGCCAGCUAAUGCAAUUCCCCAUUAGUGCAUUAAAGUGCCCUUAUUAAUUCCAACAUAACGGCAACAAAAUAAGCUGUUAAAUUUAAAAUAUAAUACAUAUAUAAUGAGGAGAAUGUGUGAAAGCCUUAUUCAAAUGAAAAUCCAGGAGUGUUUGAACUACCGAGGUAUCUUUUGUAUUGAAUUAUGAGCAUAUGUAAUAGAUUUAAUUAUUAAUUUCCCCAUUGUUCUAUGCACACAGACAGGGUUCAAGGCACAGUCAUUCUCUGGCUUUCAUAGAUCUAAUUUGUAUAAUUAUUGCCUGAAUAAAGAAUUGCUCCAAUUCCUGGCUCUCUUUCUUCCGCCGCCCCCCCCACCCCCCAUGCACACGAUGUCAGCGCCGCAUUCCGCGAGGGGACACCUGGCCCUUGUUCAAAGUCAGCUGAUGGUUUGGAUGACGGCCGGCGCUGCUGCCAGUGACGUAUCCCUUUCAAGUCUCUUUGUCUAAGUGAAUUAUCGUGCAUCCUUUUAAUUUUAUUGAACAAAUUACAUUUGUCAAGGUCUAUCUUUGUAAAUAAAUGAUAACUAGAGACACAUGGAUGUGUAGUUCUGCUGUUCAAGGGCUCUUGUUCCAUUUCUGGAAGCCAGAUGAACAUGGAACAAAGGAGAAACUUUCCUCUAAAAGCAAUUAUCUUUUUGCAUUCCCAUCAGUAUAAUUAUAUUGCAGGGAAUUUUAAGAAGCUGUAGAAGUAGAAUUGAAUGCUUAAAACUGUGUUUGCUGAAUUGCCAUGCAAAAGUUGAGCAGGCUAUAUUGCAUCACAGAAAACAGCCUAACUCUCUCCUGGCCACGUUUUAGAGGGUGCCCCAAGGAUGGGGACCGUGCGGAGAAGGGUGGUGGGGAGGUGGGCCAGAUCUUGGGGUUCGUGUGCUUCUUGAGAGGAACAUUUAAUGACAUUUCUGAGACCUGAGGGCUCUGUGCAAGGUGACUGGGGGUGUAGACAAUGAAACCACCCAUUUCCAGUCUAUCUGGAGUUGCUGAUUUGCAGAUUGCUCUCUGCCUGGAGCAGAAACCUGCACACUUGUGCAGUAAUCCAUUAACGGUGGCAGAGAAGGAGGGAUUCUUGGUGAAAUCGUGGGAGAUGCUAUUACAGUGCCUCAAAGCUGUGAGUGAUGGGUUUGGAGAGAUAGUGAACGUGGCUUGUGUGGCUGCUGUGUCAAUACCACGUGUCAGCCAGGAGCACGUCUUCAUCCCCGGCUCCCCGACGCCUUGGUGAGGUCGACUGCAUGUCUCAUGUCGGCUCACAGGCUGUCAGUAGUCACAUCCCCCUUCCCAGGGUUUCCCAGAGCACCUGACAGACAUUCCGGGAGAAGCCCCCAGGAGAAGUGACAGCAGAGGAGGCCAGAAUCAUGGCUUGGCUUAAUACUGGCUGUAGAUUUUGGCUUCCUGACAAUUGAAUGGGUAACAUCCUAGAGAUCCUGAAAACAAGAAACCCAGAAGAAGGCAUGACCUUGUACCUUCAAAGACAGGUGGGUAGAGGGUGGACUAAAAGCCAGCGGAGAAGAUUCCCAGUUGACAAAGAUUCUAUGGAGCCGUGGAAGGGGCACGGUCCAGGGCUCAGAGUCAGGGGCAGCCACCGGGCCCCCUGUGCUGUCAGAGAGUCUGGACCUGAUGACUGAACAGCUUAUGUAGAGACUCUGGGUGCAAGACCGUGAAUCCCAUUACAGGAGGCAUCCAACUCCAUGGGAAAGAGGUGGAGGGACGAGCCAGCCACUGGGCUUGAGCUCCAGAGCUUUAUCAAGAUGCUGAAAGUAAGAUGGUUUAUUUGCUUAACAACAUGAGUCUAGUGUCUUCUGCUGGGGCUGGAGUUGGUAAAGCGCUGAAAUCCAAGAGAUCCUUGAAAGUAACAUGCUCAGAAAGUGGUAGGUCUGCAUGCGAGUUCCCACUGUGGUGCAGUGGGUUUAGAAGCUGACCGCAGCAGCUCCGGUCGCUGAGGAGGUGUGGGUUCGAUCCUAGCCCAGGGAAGUGGGUUAAAGGAUCCAGUGUUGCUGCAUCUCCAGCUCAGAUUCAGUCCCUGGCCUGGGACCUUCCAUACGCCAUAAAAACAAAAA
Sus scrofa (pig) is the source of this 6676-nucleotide long non-coding RNA. RefSeq lists it as uncharacterized. NCBI's taxonomy places the organism in Eukaryota, Metazoa, Chordata, Mammalia, Artiodactyla, Suidae. The record is from RefSeq and is a predicted model, not a curated record.